Molecule: long non-coding RNA, 551 nt
Organism: Alligator sinensis (Chinese alligator)
Lineage: Eukaryota; Metazoa; Chordata; Crocodylia; Alligatoridae
Exons: 3
Source: RefSeq, a predicted model, not a curated record
UUAGCGCCACAUAAAACACGCACAAAGGUGUUGUUGCCUCUGUUGCAAAUGGAAGUAUUCUGUAAUAAAUUAAGAGUACUGUAUGUUCACUGUGUUAUUAGGACAUUUAUUUACUAAUAUCCUGGUGCGGUUUAAAAGAAGAAUCAGACUGGCAUAAUAGGAGAUCUGUAAGGAAAAGCAGGCUGGUCAAAGAAGGACUCAUUUCUCCACAAAUACUUGAAGGCUGUUAAAAGAAAAUGCCAAGACAAGAAAAGACUUGGGAGAACAAGAUGACCAAAAGGACUACAUUAGGUUAGAAAGGGUCACUUUCUCUUAAAGUAGGGAGAUCUGUGAAGGAACCAGACUGAGACACAUAUUCACUGCAGCCAUUGGAAGAAACUAUUUCUGCCAACCUUGCCAUCAAUAACAUUUUAGGUGGAAAACCAGAGGAAGUAAGAGCACAGACAUGCUUCACUUCUGAUAAUUCCAACAAUGGGAAAGAAGAUUGCAAAGUGCUUCUGGCAGUUCAGAGAGGACAGGCUGACCAGGAGGAUGGAGACUCCAGCUGAAUU